Molecule: ribosomal RNA, 497 nt
Filed under: uncultured bacterium
Lineage: Bacteria
Description: partial 16S ribosomal RNA
Rfam family: Bacterial small subunit ribosomal RNA
Source: RNAcentral
GAUGAACGCUGGCGGCGUGCCUAAUACAUGCAAGUCGGGCGAACGGACGGGAAGCUUGCUUCUCUGAUGUUAGCGGCGGACGGGUGAGUAACACGUGGAUAACCUACCUAUAAGACUGGGAUAACUUCGGGAAACCGGAGCUAAUACCGGAUGAUAUUUUGAACCGCAUGGUUCAAAAGUGAAAGACGGUCUUGCUGUCACUUAUAGAUGGAUCCGCGCUGCAUUAGCUAGUUGGUAAGGUAACGGCUUACCAAGGCAACGAUGCAUAGCCGACCUGAGAGGGUGAUCGGCCACACUGGAACUGAGACACGGUCCAGACUCCUACGGGAGGCAGCAGUAGGGAAUCUUCCGCAAUGGGCGAAAGCCUGACGGAGCAACGCCGCGUGAGUGAUGAAGGUCUUCGGAUCGUAAAACUCUGUUAUUAGGGAAGAACAUAUGUGUAAGUAACUGUGCACAUCUUGACGGUACCUAAUCAGAAAGCCACGGCUAACUACGUG